RNAcentral lists this ribosomal RNA (344 nucleotides) under uncultured prokaryote. RNAcentral's name for it is "partial 16S ribosomal RNA". The record is from RNAcentral.
CCCUAUGGGGUGCAGCAGGCUCAACACUAAUGGUAUUAACUCCGGUAUUACUUGAUCCUGAAGUUCUCUUUCACUUUAUCAAUCGCCAUUAUUCUUAUAUUAAUUCUAAACCGAAGGGAACCGGGACACCUCAUGUAAAUCCUGACAUAUUCUGGAAAUUAAAGUUUCCUAUUGCUCCCAUCAACGAACAAAAACGUAUUGUCGCCAAACUGGACCAGAUAAUCCCUCGCAUUGACUUGGUAAAAGAGCGUCUGGUUAAAAUUCCUGCAAUAAUCAAACGGUUCCGACAGUCGGUGCUAACCUCUGCUGUAACAGGUAGAUUGUCGGAGAAUUGGCGGGAGGGC